Molecule: unclassified non-coding RNA, 337 nt
Filed under: soil metagenome
Description: partial contains 5.8S ribosomal RNA, internal transcribed spacer 2, and large subunit ribosomal RNA
Rfam family: 5.8S ribosomal RNA (bases 1-120)
Source: RNAcentral
GAUGAAGAACGUAGCGAAAUGCGAUAAGUAGUGUGAAUUGCAGAAUUCAGUGAAUCAUCGAAUCUUUGAACGCUCAUUGCGCCGCUUGGUAUUCCAUGGGGCAUGCCUGUUCGAGCGUCAUUUGUACCUUCAAGCUCUGCUUGGUGUUGGGUGUUUGUCUCGCCUCUGCGUGUAGACUCGCCUCAAAACAAUUGGCAGCCGGCGUAUUGAUUUCGGAGCGCAGUACAUCUCGCGCUUUGCACUCAUAACGACGACGUCCAAAAGUACAUUUUUACACUCUUGACCUCGGAUCAGGUAGGGAUACCCGCUGAACUUAAGCAUAUCAAUAAGCGGAGGA